AGCCGGUGAUGAUCACUCACCUUCUGACACCUCGUCUGAGGGCGGCGGGCGGCCGCGGCCCCUGCUGACGCUCCGCGGCUGAGGCUC
Molecule: small nucleolar RNA, 87 nt
Organism: Dromaius novaehollandiae (emu)
Lineage: Eukaryota; Metazoa; Chordata; Aves; Casuariiformes; Dromaiidae
Product: small nucleolar RNA SNORD60
Exons: 1
Source: RefSeq, a predicted model, not a curated record